Long non-coding RNA from Scophthalmus maximus (turbot), 1121 nucleotides. RefSeq lists it as uncharacterized. The transcript has 4 exons. NCBI's taxonomy places the organism in Eukaryota, Metazoa, Chordata, Actinopteri, Pleuronectiformes, Scophthalmidae. The record is from RefSeq and is a predicted model, not a curated record.
UAUUUGUUCAGGACUUGAAGUAUUAAUACUCUGUGGUACUGAUACUUUUACUCUGAUGAUCAGUAAAUGUAGAAAUGAUCGCAGACAAACUCACAGGGAUGAAGUUUGCGUUGACGUAGUCGGAUCCUUCGUCGUUGUGCAUCGACACCAACUUGACUCGACUGAAGUCGUCUGGAGGAAGAAUUCAUCAUCAUCAUCAUCACAACACACACACACACACGUCUCUGUACAGACGUGUGACUGAAUCAACGUGAUGAGAUAUGAAGAAGCGUCACAUGGGAGGAUGUUGGUGUAUCGGUUCUUGGGCCUGUUGACGGGCAGAUCAGCUGCAUCAUGGGAAAGAUCCAGACCGACGCUCUUCAGCUCCUGAACCACGUCACAAAGAAAUGAUCAACGUGUGAAAAGGAGUCCUGCCACAUGCAGUCGAAGCAUGAACACAACCAGCGACACAAGAAGGAGAAGACGACGAGUCUGAUGGACAUUGAGUGAUGAAGGUCAAAUACAAGAUGGAAGCCGAGCAGGCAGGGGAGGCGGAGUUCCUGCUCAUCAUCAUCAUCAUCAUCAUCAUCAUCAUCAUCACGGCCGUCGCCUCACAGACGACCUCAAAUCUGUAGCUACAAAUUCAAAUCCCUAAUCUGCCUCCUCAAUCCCCCGGCUGCUCAUCUGUGAUUCUGUCUGUUCUACGGUCACGUGACAGGAAGUCGUCACCACACGCUUCACUGUGAUUGGAGGAGGAGAAGCAGACGGAUCCUACCAGUUGUACGGAAGUUUCCCAUCUCGCUCGAACGAAGCGAAGUUGACGAACGUCUCCGCUCCACAUUCUCUGAAGAGACAGAAGAAGAAGAGAAGUGGACGAGCAGGAAGAGGACGAGCAGACUGACGAGCAGGACGCUGAGGACGGACAGAGCCGAAAUGGCCGCCACGCUGGGAUUCAUCUCUUUAGCUGCAGACACACGAGACACAAGUUCACGUCACUGACGCCAUGAACCACAUGAAAACCUUCAGCUCACCAAUAACUGAAUGUUAGAUGAUCAGAGACAGUUCUGGAGGCUGAUAUUUAUAUUAAUAAUAGUAAUAACAAAAACACAGUAGUGAGCUCCACAGCGCCACCUACCCACGGU